Molecule: microRNA precursor, 68 nt
Filed under: Bombyx mori (domestic silkworm)
Lineage: Eukaryota; Metazoa; Arthropoda; Insecta; Lepidoptera; Bombycidae
Description: mir-2774 microRNA precursor family
Rfam family: mir-2774 microRNA precursor family
Source: Rfam by way of RNAcentral
ACAAUAUUCAGAGCGUCGGUCUACCGAGCAACAUCACCCGCUCGGUGGAAGAUCUGUCCUUUUGUCGU